AGUUUGAUCAUGGCUCAGAUUGAACGCUGGCGGCAGGCCUAACACAUGCAAGUCGAGCGGUAACAUUUCUAGCUUGCUAGAAGAUGACGAGCGGCGGACGGGUGAGUAAUGCCUGGGAAUAUGCCUUGAUGUGGGGGAUAACUAUUGGAAACGAUAGCUAAUACCGCAUAAUCUCCGAUCUUUUACGAGAUGGGAGCAAAGAGGGGGACCUUUUGGCCUCUCGCGUCAAGAUUAGCCCAGGUGGGAUUAGCUAGUUGGUGAGGUAAAGGCUCACCAAGGCGACGAUCUCUAGCUGGUCUGAGAGGAUGAUCAGCCACACUGGAACUGAGACACGGUCCAGACUCCUACGGGAGGCAGCAGUGGGGAAUAUUGCACAAUGGGCGCAAGCCUGAUGCAGCCAUGCCGCGUGUGUGAAGAAGGCCUUCGGGUUGUAAAGCACUUUCAGUCGUGAGGAAGGUAGUGUAGUUAAUAGCUGCAUUAUUUGACGUUAGCGACAGAAGAAGCACCGGCUAACUCCGUGCCAGCAGCCGCGGUAAUACGGAGGGUGCGAGCGUUAAUCGGAAUUACUGGGCGUAAAGCGCAUGCAGGUGGUUUGUUAAGUCAGAUGUGAAAGCCCGGGGCUCAACCUUGGAAUUGCAUUUGAAACUGGCAGACUAGAGUA
RNAcentral lists this ribosomal RNA (661 nucleotides) under uncultured bacterium. Its description in RNAcentral is "bacterial SSU rRNA". It matches the Rfam family "Bacterial small subunit ribosomal RNA", at positions 10 to 648 of the family's 1533-position model. The record is from RNAcentral.